CGGGGGGGGCCGGCACAGCGGCACCGGGGGGGUCCCGGGCAGGGACGGAGCCUGCAGCCUGGUCUGGCCCUUCUCGUGCCGAAGUUCGGACGGGUCCAGAUCACCUCCUCUAGCAAUAGUACGGGCACAAUCACGGAACGAAACCUGGCGCAGCCUCACGUUACUAGACAAAUAUUUGCUGUUUGAAUUCUGGAUGUAUUUCUCUCCGUGGUUACAGAGAAGCAGUGGAGCAUUUGAAGCACAUGUGCUUCCUGACCUUUUAUACAAGAGGGAUUUUGCAGUUGAUUACUGUAAUAUCUUUCAUUGUGUGAUUCUACUACAUUUUUCUUCUUUUUUUUUUUUUUUUUUUAAUAGCUUAAUUUGCCAGUGCUGAGAAGCCCCCAUCCUUCUCUGUUAUUUAAGAAAAAAAAUGAGUAGAUCUUUAACAUUACCAGCAACAUUUUUAUCUGAAAUCUCUGGAUGACUCUGAGGUGGCCAAUCCACUGGGCUCCCCACUGGGGAGCACUUACACUCCUGCUGCCACUGAAGUCAGUGCCAGUGCUGCCACUUAGACAAUAUAUUGCUGCUUUAUAAUAUAUAAAAUAAUAUAAACCAAAAA
This is a long non-coding RNA of Tyto alba (common barn owl), 598 nucleotides long. RefSeq lists it as uncharacterized. The record is from RefSeq and is a predicted model, not a curated record. The transcript is spliced from 2 exons. NCBI's taxonomy places the organism in Eukaryota, Metazoa, Chordata, Aves, Strigiformes, Tytonidae.